CAGGCCUAACACAUGCAAGUCGGACGAGUAUCUUCGGAUGCUAGUGGCGCACGGGUGAGUAACGCGUAACUGACCUGCCCCCAACUCGUGGAUAACCCUCCGAAAGGAGGGCUAAUACAUGAUGUGCUGUCCUUUUUCUGGAAGGCCAGUAAAGACUUGAUCGGUUGGGGAUGGGGUUGCGUUCCAUCAGCUUGUUGGUGGGGUAACGGCCCACCAAGGCGACGACGGAUCGCCGGCCUGAGAGGGUGGCCGGCCACAGGGGCACUGAGACACGGGUCCCACUCCUACGGGAGGCAGCAGUUAGGAAUCUUCCACAAUGGGCGAAAGCCUGAUGGAGCGACGCCGCGUGAGGGACGAAGGUUCUCGGAUCGUAAACCUCUGAAUCUGGGACGAAAGACGCGACAAGCGGGAUGACGGUACCAGAGUAAUAGCACCGGCUAACUCCGUGCCAGCAGCCGCGGUAAU
This 465-nucleotide ribosomal RNA is filed under the name uncultured bacterium. RNAcentral's name for it is "bacterial SSU rRNA". It matches the Rfam family "Bacterial small subunit ribosomal RNA", at positions 43 to 524 of the family's 1533-position model. The record is from RNAcentral.